AGGAUGAACGCUGGCGGCGUGCCUAACACAUGCAAGUCGAACGUCCUGUCUCGCAAGAGGCAGGGAGUGGCGGACGGGUGAGUACCACGUGGGUCAUCUACCGUGAGGUGAGGAAUACCGGCGAGAAAUCGCCGACAAGACCGCAUAGGCUCGAUGCAAGUCGAGCAAAGCUCUUUCGAGAGAGGGAGCGCCACACGAGGAGCCUGCGCCCGAUUAGCUAGCUGGUGGAGUAACGGUUCACCAGGGCGACGAUCGGUAGCUGGUCUGAGAGGACGAUCAGCCACACUGGGAUUGAGAACGGCCCAGACUCCUACGGGGGGCAGCAGUGAGGAAUUUCGUCAAUGGGGGCAACCCUGAACGAGCAACGCCGCGUGCAGGAAGAAGGUUUUCGGAUCGUAAACUGCUUUUCUCGGGAAGAGAACGGACGGUACCCGAGGAAUCAGCCCCGGCUAACUACGCGCCAGCAGCCGCGGU
This 474-nucleotide ribosomal RNA is filed under the name uncultured bacterium. RNAcentral's name for it is "SSU rRNA". It matches the Rfam family "Bacterial small subunit ribosomal RNA", at positions 26 to 521 of the family's 1533-position model. The record is from RNAcentral.